GCUUAUUGAUGAGUUAACAUAAGAUUGCGGAGCCUAAUAUAACCGCGCACAUACUUUAAACGACAAAUAACCUUCCCUUACUUUUGCUGCGAAGCAGCUCCCUUUCGUUUCUCCAGGUAGAAGAAGCCAGCUAGAGACACAAUAGAGAAAACAGAGAAGCACACAGAUGCAAUAUCAAGGGAGACGUGGCGUCCAGUGAUUGCCUCUACUUCAAACAAGUUCGUUUUCUUUCCAUCAUUAGUGCUUUGGCCAUAGGCAACUUCUUUCUCCUCUGCAUUAUAAACAUAAGCCCUUACAAAGUAUGUUGCUGUUGGGAUAUCUCUUUCAACAGUCCAAGUAACCGAAUCCGUCUCAGGUUUGUAAUCCCUUUUCACAAUCUUGUGUUGGCAAGUUCUGUCCUUCUUAAGCUCAUCUUUUGUUUUGCGCCAUCCGCGGUCUUUUUGGCUGAUGGGAGCAUAGCAGAGCUUUACCUUAACAGUCUUGUACGCCGAAUCUGUUCCAGCGGGAUAGGUUUUGUUGAAAGACCAUGUCACAGUGAUGUUUGCUUCUCCAGCUUUCAAGACUGCAAUUCAAUUUCUCAACCAAAUCAAUAAACUAUCCAUUUCAUUAAUUUAAGAUAUAUCAAAAAUAAAUCUUGAUAGUAUAAAUUACACAUGAAAAAGUUAUGUAGAGAUCAUUUUAUUAUUGGAGACAUCAGAGACCACGUAUGUACUGCUUGCAGAACAUAUUUUGCUAUUAAUAUAUUUUACAAUGUUCUGUCCAAAGUCUCCGAUUAAAACUCAACACAUGUUACACAUGCAUAAAAAUUAACUACCAAUAAGGAAAUAUUUGAUCUACACAUACCUUGUCCGCUUUUAGGUGAAGAUGUGAGAAGUAUAGAUUUCUGCAGCGCUGAGAAGGUUCCGCUAGCAUAGCAACUCAACGCGAAGGAGGACAGCAGAAUUGAAGCUACAAACAGUAGAGUCGAGGCCGCCAUCGUAAGAGAGCAAAUAAACUGAGUAAUGAGUGAUGAUGAGAUGAGAUAAGAGGAUGUGAAGAGAUGGGAAUGUUAAGUUUAUGGUGCAGGGGCUUGGUACUUAUAUAGAGGACGGCCACAAGGACAAAGAGGGCGAGGAAAUGGUCACUGGACUGCCUUUUUGGUUUUUAAUAAUCAUAGUCAAAACAAAUGAAAAUUGCCAGCUUUUACGAAUUUACAAACGAUUCUUAGAAUAAUGCCUGAUAAUUAGAUGAUACUUAGAUGUUGCAUUGGCUACCAAGCUUGCUCAAGGGGUGGGGGACGUGGGGUUAUGUUGAUAUAAAAGGUAAGGUAUUGGGGUUUAGUUUAUUAAUAUUGACUUUUACAUGGAUUAUCAUUCGUUGUUGUAUGUUCAUCUGUCAUGUUUCAUAUUUGAUAGCAUUGGAGUGCUGAGAUUUUUUCUGAUUUUGUUAAUUUUUCACAAUGUCUGUUGGCCGUGUAAAGACUAAAAGAGCAAAUGACAAUAGACAGCGGAGACUCGAGAUCAUCAAGUGGAUUUGUGGUACAAGUGAAAGGAUUAUUCUGAGUCUUAAAAUUCAAAAUUUGGCCCCGGUUUCUCCAACUAGGCUAUCAAGGUUUCCAAAGAACCAAAAGCGACGACUUUUAUUAGCCGAAGAAGUAAAACUUAUUUUUGGUAUCCAUAUUGCAAUAGUUUUAAACCCGUUGGAGCAAGGUUAUAUAGUUCAAAUUUUACUUUUUGUAAUUUGAAUUUUAACAUCAUUUUAUUAAUAUUUUAAUAAUUUUCUCUAAUCGCCUCUAGAAUUUAGAAUACAUAUUUUAUUCAUCCAAGUGACAGAGCCUAUGAGACGUUGAUUUAUCAACAAAGCCUUCCAAGUUCUAGGAAUUGCAAUUUGUAAAAGAAAGUAAAAUCAAGUCCAACAAUGUCCUCGAUUAAUAUCCUAAAUCAAAAUUUAAGACAUUUGAGCAGUGUUCCAAUAAUUUUCCGAUAGUAUUUUAAAACACUAGGACAAAAACAAAUGUCUUAUUUUUGAGCCACUACUAUGCAUGUCCCAAAACUAUUUCUAUCAUUAGAAAAUUAUCAUCCUUCCAUUUCAACACAUAUCUCUCCUCUCUGCUUUUCAUUUUCCUCCAAUAAUAAUUCAAAUAUAUUACUAUUUCAAUGAUAAGACAUGUUAUUGGAGUUGAUAUAUUAAAAUGAUUUCUUAAAUCAAUAGAACACUAUUUUUAUUAUGUUUGUACAAUACUCACUAAAUACGAUUUUAACUUAGGCAAUAAAUAGAAUUUGCAACCUCAUUUUCAACAACAUUUACAACAGUUAUAAAUAGAAAUUUUAUUUGCAAUAUAUGCAACCUCAUUUGCAACAGUUGCAAAUUGAUGUUGCAAGUGAAAUUGCAAAUUGUAUUUUUAUAAAUAAUUUGUAAAAAAUAAUAAUUUAAAAAAAAUAUCCACUUGACAGUAUUUUUGUAUAUGUUUUGUAAAAAUUUAGUAUUUUUAUAAAUAUUCCAUUUUAUUUUUUCAUUUAUAAAAAGAAGAACAUUUUUUAUCAUAUGUCGGGUAUAUGAUAACUUACUAUUUACUUUAGAGUAGAAAAACACCAAAAUUAAGAAGAUUCAUAUUUAUUUAUAUGAAAUUUUAAUUCACUUUCAGUUUGUCUUUUAUAAGUUAUACAUUUGUUUAUAAGAUUUGUUUAAAUAUUAAUAAAUGUAGUUGACAAUAAUUUUACUUUUUAACUAAUUUUAAAUUAUAUUUAAAAGGAUUAUAAUAGAGAUUCGUAUUAUAUAUAAUACAUCACAAGUGUUUUUAAUUUUUGAAACUGUUUAAUUAAUAAUCAAUAAAUAAUAAGUCUUCACUUGUUAUAAACUUGUAAUUAUCUCCAACUUAUAACACAAUUACAUUUGAUAACUCACAUAACAUUUUUCUACCAUCACUCACUAUAAUCUCAAAUAAUACAUUACAUAUAAUUAUUUGCACUAUCCAAGUAACAAUCAAUUUCCAUAUCUACUUCAAAUUGUAUCUUUAAUCAAACCCAAAACUUCUAGCUUUGUAAAAUCUAUGCAAUCUCAUGACAAACUACUUCUUCAAUAGACCUAAUUCGAGCAUCAAUCAAAGCUCAAUGUCAAGCAAUUGCCUUUCGGUUACUUUAAACGACAAAUAACCUCCCCUUACUUUUGCUGCGAAGCAUUUGCCUUUCGUUUCUCCAGGUAGAAGAAGCCAGCAAGAGACACAAUAGAGAACACAGAGAAGCACGCAGAUGCAAUAUCAAGGGAGACGUGGCGCCCUGUGAUUGCCUCUACUUCAAACAAGUUCGUUUUCUUUCCAUCAUUAGUGCUUUGGCCAUAGGCAACUUCUUUCUCCUCUGCAUUGAAAACAUAAGCCCUUACGAAGUAUGUUGCUGUGGGAAUAUCUCUUUCUACAGUCCAAGUAACCGAAUCGCUCUCAGGUUUGUAAUCCCUUUUCACAAUCUUGUGCUGGCAAGUUCUGUCCUUCUUAAGCUCGUCUUUUGUUUUGCGCCAUCCGCGAUCUUUUUGGCUGAUGGGAGCAUAGCAGAGCUUUACCUUAAC
This 3537-nucleotide long non-coding RNA is filed under the name Daucus carota (carrot). RNAcentral's name for it is "long non-coding RNA (DCAR_LNC004369)". Lineage: Eukaryota; Viridiplantae; Streptophyta; Magnoliopsida; Apiales; Apiaceae. The record is from RNAcentral.